GUGGGGAAUAUUGGACAAUGGGGGCAACCCUGAUCCAGCCAUGCCGCGUGAGUGAUGAAGGCCUUCGGGUUGUAAAGCUCUUUUGGCGGGGACGAUGAUGACGGUACCCGCAGAAUAAGCCCCGGCUAACUUCGUGCCAGCAGCCGCGGUAAGACGAAGGGGGCUAGCGUUGUUCGGAAUUACUGGGCGUAAAGCGAGUGUAGGCGGUUGUUAUAGUCAGGUGUGAAAGCCUUGAGCUCAACUCAAGAAAUGCACUUGAUACUGAACAGCUCGAGUACCGGAGAGGAUAGUGGAAUUCCCAGUGUAGUGGUGAAAUACGUAGAGAUUGGGAAGAACACCAGUGGCGAAGGCGGCUAUCUGGACGGUUACUGACGCUAAGACUCGAAAGCGUGGGGAGCAAACA
RNAcentral lists this ribosomal RNA (403 nucleotides) under uncultured bacterium. RNAcentral describes it as "bacterial SSU rRNA". It matches the Rfam family "Bacterial small subunit ribosomal RNA", at positions 354 to 774 of the family's 1533-position model. The record is from RNAcentral.